This 253-nucleotide ribosomal RNA is filed under the name uncultured bacterium. Its description in RNAcentral is "partial 16S ribosomal RNA". It matches the Rfam family "Bacterial small subunit ribosomal RNA", at positions 524 to 776 of the family's 1533-position model. The record is from RNAcentral.
UACGGAGGUGGCAAGCGUUGCUCGGAAUCACUGGGCGUAAAGGGCGCGUAGGCGGGGAGGUAAGUCGGGUGUGAAAUCCCUCGGCCCAACCGAGGAACUGCGCCCGAGACUGCUUCUCUUGAGUCCCGGAGAGGAAGGUGGAAUUCCCGGUGUAGCGGUGAAAUGUGUAGAGAUCGGGAGGAACACCGGUGGCGAAGGCGGGUCUCUGGGCAGUAACUGACGCUGAGGAGCGAAAGCGUGGGGAGCGAACAGG